Molecule: ribosomal RNA, 254 nt
Filed under: uncultured bacterium
Lineage: Bacteria
Description: partial 16S ribosomal RNA
Rfam family: Bacterial small subunit ribosomal RNA
Source: RNAcentral
UACAUGUGGGGCAAGCGUUGUUCGGAAUUACUGGGCAUAAAGGGUGCGUAGGCGGUUUGUUAAGUCACUGGUGAAAGUUUUCGGCCCAACCGGAAAAUUGCCUGUGAUACUGGCGAACUUGAGUGCGUGAGGGGUGGGGGGAACGAGCAGUGUAGCGGUGAAAUGCGUAGAUAUUGCUCGGAAGGCCGGAGCCGAAGGGGCCCCACUGGUACGUAACUGACGCUGAGGCACGAAAGCGUGGGGGAGCAAACAGG